GACGAACGCUGGUGGCGUGCUUAACACAUGCAAGUCGAACGGAAAGGCCCUGCUUUUGUGGGGUGCUCGAGUGGCGAACGGGUGAGUAACACGUGAGUAACCUGCCCUUGACUUUGGGAUAACUUCAGGAAACUGGGGCUAAUACCGGAUAGGAGCUCCUGCUGCAUGGUGGGGGUUGGAAAGUUUCGGCGGUUGGGGAUGGACUCGCGGCUUAUCAGCUUGUUGGUGGGGUAGUGGCUUACCAAGGCUUUGACGGGUAGCCGGCCUGAGAGGGUGACCGGCCACAUUGGGACUGAGAUACGGCCCAGACUCCUACGGGAGGCAGCAGUGGGGAAUAUUGCACAAUGGGCGGAAGCCUGAUGCAGCAACGCCGCGUGCGGGAUGACGGCCUUCGGGUUGUAAACCGCUUUCGCCUGUGACGAAGCGUGAGUGACGGUAAUGGAUAAAGAAGCACCGGCUAACUACGUG
This 468-nucleotide ribosomal RNA is filed under the name uncultured bacterium. RNAcentral describes it as "partial 16S ribosomal RNA". It matches the Rfam family "Bacterial small subunit ribosomal RNA", at positions 28 to 507 of the family's 1533-position model. The record is from RNAcentral.